AUUGAACGCUGGCGGCAGGCCUAACACAUGCAAGUCGAACGGUAACAGGAAGAAGCUUGCUUCUUUGCUGACGAGUGGCGGACGGGUGAGUAAUGUCUGUGAAACUGCCUGAUGGAGGGGGAUAACUACUGGAAACGGUAGCUAAUACCGCAUAACGUCGCAAGACCAAAGAGGGGGACCUUCGGGCCUCUUGCCAUCGGAUGUGCCCAGAUGGGAUUAGCUAGUAGGUGGGGUAACGGCUCACCUAGGCGACGAUCCCUAGCUGGUCUGAGAGGAUGACCAGCCACACUGGAACUGAGACACGGUCCAGACUCCUACGGGAGGCAGCAGUGGGGAAUAUUGCACAAUGGGCGCAAGCCUGAUGCAGCCAUGCCGCGUGUAUGAAGAAGGCCUUCGGGUUGUAAAGUACUUUCAGCGGGGAGGAAGGGAGUAAAGUUAAUACCUUUGCUCAUUGACGUUACCCGCAGAAGAAGCGCCGGCUAACUCCGUG
Molecule: ribosomal RNA, 490 nt
Filed under: uncultured bacterium
Lineage: Bacteria
Description: partial 16S ribosomal RNA
Rfam family: Bacterial small subunit ribosomal RNA
Source: RNAcentral